GGGAACGAUAACGGCGUCGAGCGGCGGACGGGUGAGUAAUGCCUAGGAAAUUGCCCUGAUGUGGGGGAUAACCAUUGGAAACGAUGGCUAAUACCGCAUGAUGCCUACGGGCCAAAGAGGGGGACCUUCGGGCCUCUCGCGUCAGGAUAUGCCUAGGUGGGAUUAGCUAGUUGGUGAGGUAAGGGCUCACCAAGGCGACGAUCCCUAGCUGGUCUGAGAGGAUGAUCAGCCACACUGGAACUGAGACACGGUCCAGACUCCUACGGGAGGCAGCAGUGGGGAAUAUUGCACAAUGGGCGCAAGCCUGAUGCAGCCAUGCCGCGUGUGUGAAGAAGGCCUUCGGGUUGUAAAGCACUUUCAGUCGUGAGGAAGGUAGUGUAGUUAAUAGCUGCAUUAUUUGACGUUAGCGACAGAAGAAGCACCGGCUAACUCCGUGCCAGCAGCCGCGGUAAUACGGAGGGUGCGAGCGUUAAUCGGAAUUACUGGGCGUAAAGCGCAUGCAGGUGGUUUGUUAAGUCAGAUGUGAAAGCCCGGGGCUCAACCUCGGAAUAGCAUUUGAAACUGGCAGACUAGAGUACUGUAGAGGGGGGUAGAAUUUCAGGUGUAGCGGUGAAAUGCGUAGAGAUCUGAAGGAAUACCGGUGGCGAAGGCGGCCCCCUGGACAGAUACUGACACUCAGAUGCGAAAGCGUGGGGAGCAAACAGGAUUAGAUACCCUGGUAGUCCACGCCGUAAACGAUGUCUACUUGGAGGUUGUGGCCUUGAGCCGUGGCUUUCGGAGCUAACGCGUUAAGUAGACCGCCUGGGGAGUACGGUCGCAAGAUUAAAACUCAAAUGAAUUGACGGGGGCCCGCACAAGCGGUGGAGCAUGUGGUUUAAUUCGAUGCAACGCGAAGAACCUUACCUACUCUUGACAUCCAGAGAACUUUCCAGAGAUGGAUUGGUGCCUUCGGGAACUCUGAGACAGGUGCUGCAUGGCUGUCGUCAGCUCGUGUUGUGAA
Molecule: ribosomal RNA, 1000 nt
Filed under: marine bacterium AK14_036
Lineage: Bacteria
Description: bacterial SSU rRNA
Rfam family: Bacterial small subunit ribosomal RNA
Source: RNAcentral